RNAcentral lists this ribosomal RNA (315 nucleotides) under Salmonella enterica subsp. enterica serovar Saintpaul. RNAcentral describes it as "bacterial LSU rRNA". It matches the Rfam family "Bacterial large subunit ribosomal RNA", at positions 1084 to 1397 of the family's 2925-position model. Lineage: Bacteria; Pseudomonadati; Pseudomonadota; Gammaproteobacteria; Enterobacterales; Enterobacteriaceae. The record is from RNAcentral.
CCCAGACAGCCAGGAUGUUGGCUUAGAAGCAGCCAUCAUUUAAAGAAAGCGUAAUAGCUCACUGGUCGAGUCGGCCUGCGCGGAAGAUGUAACGGGGCUAAACCAUGCACCGAAGCUGCGGCAGCGACACUCAGGUGUUGUUGGGUAGGGGAGCGUUCUGUAAGCCUGUGAAGGUGGCCUGUGAGGGUGGCUGGAGGUAUCAGAAGUGCGAAUGCUGACAUAAGUAACGAUAAAGCGGGUGAAAAGCCCGCUCGCCGGAAGACCAAGGGUUCCUGUCCAACGUUAAUCGGGGCAGGGUGAGUCGACCCCUAAGGC